This is a long non-coding RNA of Lactuca sativa (garden lettuce), 1145 nucleotides long. RefSeq lists it as uncharacterized. The record is from RefSeq and is a predicted model, not a curated record. Lineage: Eukaryota; Viridiplantae; Streptophyta; Magnoliopsida; Asterales; Asteraceae.
UUUGUUUUUAUACCAUAAUUGAUCAAUGUUUCCUCUUUUAUCAGUGGGAAGAACAAACAGGCGAGAAAAUGUAUCUUGACAAAUUCAUGUUCACUUUAAUUUUAAUCUUAAUGAGAUAUAAUUUUAACAUUAAUCAUAUAAUAUUUGUUCUUAUUAUAUUUGUAUUCUCAUUUAAAAUAAUAAAGGUAUGAGUUUUAUGUUUAUGAAAAAAUGUCAAAGUUAUUAAUUUUUAGUAAAAAAUUAUUAAUGACAGGGAUUAUGUUGAGAUAGAAAUGAUAUACGAUUGUAUGGUGGGUAAUGUUUAUCAGUUUUGUCAGCAACAUAACAUGAUUCUGCAUGGUUUAAGUUUUUGUGUUUUCAGAAAUAUCUCAUGUAUGUUAUAGGAUAAUUUGCUAAUAUGUUGUAUUGUAGAAUAAAAAUAAAUGCAGAAGAACACAUGCUACUAGAAUGAUUGGCUACUUUACUUAUUGAAAAUUUAUACAACACAAAAUCAUUUGUAUUAAUUACGGUGUAAGUUCAUGUGUUAAUAUUUGUUUCUCCAAAAUAUAAAGAUAUAUAGCCUUGUAAUAUAUUUGAUUUCGUAUUUCAUAUUAACAUGAAUAUUUUAAUUUUAAUUGAUUUUAUAUUUAGAAUGUAAUUGUAAUCUAAGAAGUUUUAAUCUUGAAUUGAUAUUUAUUGUUACAGUCAUUUUGCUUCUUGUUUGGAGAACUUCGGGAAUGUUAAAGCAAACAUUUUGGUGGACAUUUAUUUGCAACGAGUAGUGGAGAUGGUGUAUACUCAACUACGUAAUUAAAUCCAUCAUUCAUAUGGAAAAUCCUUUCAAAACCAUUAUAGCUGGAGUACAGAAAAAGUCAAGGGAUUGAUUAUAGAUAACCAAAUACAGUGCCAUCGAUAAUCGCCCGAUAUUCAACAAAAUCAAAGCCAUUUACUGAUCCCGAAAAAUUGUCACACGGAGUAACAAUACUGUCCAGAUUCAAAGCAAGCUUUUGUAGUUGAUUGAUGUCCUUCAAGACAUCGAGAUCUCGUAUGAGAGUAAAAUCACCAGCAGCCAUGUAGAUGCAGAGAUGUGGAAGAGAAUUAGCCUCUGAAAACGUUUUGAAUACAACAGUAAAGAAAACAAUGACCAUCAAUCGAUAUUUGCUGGU